This is a long non-coding RNA of Sarcophilus harrisii (Tasmanian devil), 2916 nucleotides long. NCBI's taxonomy places the organism in Eukaryota, Metazoa, Chordata, Mammalia, Dasyuromorphia, Dasyuridae. The record is from Ensembl.
CUACAAAGGGUGUGACUGCAGGCCCUCCUUAACUCCUCUUGGAUGCUGCCAGUGGAUGUGAAGGGGACUGACUCCAAUUGCUCGACUUCAAAAUAGCCCUAACGUGGUCUGGCAAGACACAGAGGCGCAAUUCAUAGCGAGCACAUAAUGGCUGCAGAUUGCCCACUUUCUCAGGAUUAGCAAGGAUCUCCUUUCCUUCUCCAGUAUGAUACCUGGAAUUGGGAACCUUACCCAGGACACCCUGUGGUGCUUCAGUCAAGUGAAAGGGACCAUCGACAUUGGAGUCACUGAAGUGACUUUGGGCAAAUCACUUAACUUGUUUCAGCCUCAGGUUCUUCCUCUGAUCCAGAGAGAGUUAUUAAAUUGCCUCUAAAUCCUAUCAGGACCCUCUGUCGUUUUCUUCUCCUGCGGGGUGAUCUUCAGAACCUUCCUAAGACAAUUCAAAUGGAAGUGAUUUAGUUUCCUGCCAUGGCACUGGUAUAUGUCCAGGUUUCAUGGGCUUACAACAAUGAGAUCAGCACAAUAGCUCUGUAGACCUACAGUUCAGUAGUCAGUCUAAUACCUUUCCUUUCCCACGGUUUCCUUCAGAGCCUCCCAAACAUUAAGCUAGCUCUGAAGAUGUAUGUGUCAAUCUCAUCAAUGUGGAUAUCCCCAGAAAGUAUACUGCAGGGGGAAUGAACUUAUCCAGAUACAGAUAAAUAUAGAUAUAAUAUAUUAUAUCCUGAUAUAUAAUAUCUAAUAUAUAUGCUAAAAUAUAAUACUACUUUAAUUUUUAAUAUGGUAAAUAUUGAUAGAUAUAACCUAUGUAAACAGAAGUUCUUUGUGGGAGGAUUCUUUAUUUGUCCUCUGAAGUCAUGCUUGAUCAUUUAGUUCACCAAAGUUCUUACAACUUUCAAAUUUAUUUAUUUUUGCAAUAUUAAUAUUGUUGUAUAAAUCAAUUGUUAUUCUGGCUGUACUCAUUUGACUCUGUACACUUAUUUCAAGACUUUUCAUAUCUCUUUGAAACGGCCAUUUUUCUUCAUUUCUUCAAUUGUGUUCCAUUUGGUUCACAUAACAUGAUUUGUUCGGCUACUCUCCAAUCAAUGGAUACUUCACUCUUUGCUAGUUCUUUGUCAGACCCCAAACAGUUUUAUUGGAUUGUUUGUACAAAACCUUUUAAAUUUUAUGUAUUCAAAAUUGUCUAUUUUAUCUUCUGUGAACCUCUAUCAUUUGUUUGAUCAUGAACUCUUUCCCUAUCCAUGCAAAUGAAAGCUGGUAUCUUCUUUGUUCCUCUUUUUUAUUUAUGAUGUACCCUUUUAAAUCUAAACUUCUAUUUAAACUUUAUCUUGUGUGUGUGGUUGAUCUAGCCCAAUUUCUGCCAUUCUACUGUCUAGUUUUCCUAAUAGCUUUAUCGAAUACUAAGUUCUUGCCCUAGUAUCUGUGAUCUUUGGGUUUAUUGAAUGAUUGGCUUUUAAGUUUACUUACUGCUAUAGGUUAUAUACCUAAUCUAUUCCAAUGAUUAGUAUUUUUAAGCCAGUGUCAUAUUGUUUUGAGAAUCAUUUGCUUUAAAGUAUAAUCAACUGCAAAGUCCCCUUGUUUCCUGCUUCUCCCCCUCCAUUACAGUUAUUCCUACUACAUUGUGGGGUUUAGGGGCACAGAGCUCUCACAGCCUAGUAAAUCUAAGUAAAAAUGUUUGGUCCUUCAUACCAAACAAAAAAAAGUCUAAAUUUUUUCUUUUAUGGUGAAUUUACAAUAUCUUAUUGUAAAAUUUGGGUUGAUAUUACAGAAUACUAUACAUAAAUUUUAUGUAUUUCUGAGUUUCUAAACUUUCUAUGUGUCUUCUACUGACUUUCACAUGUCUUCACAAAACUCCCCUCAAAUUGCACUUAAUUUCUUAUGCUGACCCACAAUACAUCAAAACCCCACUGGGGAAAGUUGUCAUGUGGAUGGAAUAACUAUAUUUCCCUUGAGAUUCCUAACCUUUUGUGCCUCCAGAUGAAUUUUGUUGUUUUAUUUUCUUAAUCCUUUAGUGGUUUGAUUGAUAUGGCACUAAAUAAGUAAAUUAUUAUAUGUAGUAUUGUUACAUUUAUUCUAUUGAUUCAGCCUACCCAUGAACCAUCAAUAAUUUUAACUAUUUUUAACUAAUUUAAACUAUUUUUGUAAACAAAAUUUGUAGUUUUAUUUACAUAAUUCUUAUGUCUAUAUUAGUAGAUAAUAUCACAUGUAUAUUAUACCUUUUGUAGCUACAUUAAAUGGAAUUUCUCUUUCUUUAUCUUCCUAUUGUGUUUAUUGGUAUUAUAUAGAAAUGAUGAUGAUUUGUAUGAAUUUAUUUUAUAUAUCACAUUUCCACUGAAGCUAUUAUUUUAAUUAAUUUUUACUUUACUCUCUAAGGUUCUCUAAGUAUACUAUCUUCAGCAAAAAAGGAAAAAUUUUGGUUUUUUCUAAACCCAUGCCUAUUUCUUCAAUUUUAAAAAUCUGAUUAUUAUAAUUAGCAUUGCUAACAUUAUAUCAAAUAGAAGUUUUGACUGUGGGAAUAUCUGCUUCACUUCUAAAAUUAUUAGAAUGAAUUGAAGUUUAUACUCAUAACAUAUAAUUCUGGGUCUUGAUUUUAAAUACAACAUUAUUUACCAUGUUAAGUAAAAGUCAAUUUAUUUCUGUUUUCUAGUGCUUUAAAGAGAAAAUGAGGGUUUUUUCCCCCAAAACUUUUUCUGUAACUAUUUGAUAUAAUCAUAUGAUUUUUGUUGGUAUUAUUAUGGUUAAUUAUGUUUAUGGUUUUCCUAAUAUUAAAUCAGUUCUGAUAUAAAUCCAAUCUGAUUGUAGUAUAUAAUUUUUGAUAUAUAUUUAUAUAGUAUCUUUACUAACAUUUAAUUUUUUAUAUCAGCAUUAAUUAAGAAUAUUGAUUUAGUUUUUAUUCUUCUAGUUUUACUCUCCAUCAUU